This 465-nucleotide ribosomal RNA is filed under the name uncultured bacterium. RNAcentral describes it as "partial 16S ribosomal RNA". It matches the Rfam family "Bacterial small subunit ribosomal RNA", at positions 338 to 795 of the family's 1533-position model. The record is from RNAcentral.
CCUACGGGUCGCAGCAGUAGGGAAUCUUCCACAAUGGACGAAAGUCUGAUGGAGCAACGCCGCGUGAGUGAAGAAGGGUUUCGGCUCGUAAAGCUCUGUUGGUAGUGAAGAAAGAUAGAGGUAGUAACUGGCCUUUAUUUGACGGUAAUUACUUAGAAAGUCACGGCUAACUACGUGCCAGCAGCCGCGGUAAUACGUAGGUGGCAAGCGUUGUCCGGAUUUAUUUGGCGUAAAGCGAGUGCAGGCGGUUCAAUAAGUCUGAUGUGAAAGCCUUCGGCUCAACCGGAGAAUUGCAUCAGAAACUGUUGAACUUGAGUGCAGAAGAGGAGAGUGGAACUCCAUGUGUAGCGGUGGAAUGCGUAGAUAUAUGGAGGAACAUCAGUGGCGAAGGCGACUAUCUGGCACAUAACUGACGCUGAGGAGCGAAAGCGUGGGUAGCAAACAGGAUUAGAUACCCGGGUAGUC